GAUGAACGCUAGCGACAGGCCUAACACAUGCAAGUCGAGGGGCAGCACGAGGUAGCAAUACUGAGGUGGCGACCGGCGCACGGGUGAGUAACACGUAUGCAACCUACCUGUAAGAGGGGAAUAACCCGGAGAAAUUCGGACUAAUACCGCAUAACACUGCCAUACCGCAUGGUAUAGCAGUUAAACAUUUAUGGUUUACAGCUGGGCAUGCGUAUGAUUAGAUAGUUGGUGAGGUAACGGCUCACCAAGUCAACGAUCAUUAGGGGUUCUGAGAGGAAGGUCCCCCACACUGGUACUGAGACACGGACCAGACUCCUACGGGAGGCAGCAGUGAGGAAUAUUGGUCAAUGGGCGAGAGCCUGAACCAGCCAAGUCGCGUGAAGGAAGAAGGUUCUAUGGAUUGUAAACUUCUUUUGUAAGGGAAUAAAAAGAGUUACGUGUAACUUAUUGUAUGUACUUUACGGAUAAGGAUCGGCUAACUCCGUGCCAGCAGCCGCCGUAA
RNAcentral lists this ribosomal RNA (502 nucleotides) under uncultured bacterium. RNAcentral's name for it is "partial 16S ribosomal RNA". It matches the Rfam family "Bacterial small subunit ribosomal RNA", at positions 28 to 523 of the family's 1533-position model. The record is from RNAcentral.